This 253-nucleotide ribosomal RNA is filed under the name uncultured bacterium. RNAcentral's name for it is "partial 16S ribosomal RNA". It matches the Rfam family "Bacterial small subunit ribosomal RNA", at positions 524 to 776 of the family's 1533-position model. RNAcentral also lists the same sequence under 1 other name. The record is from RNAcentral.
UACGGAGGGUGCAAGCGUUAUCCGGAUUUACUGGGUUUAAAGGGUGUGUAGGCGGACUAUUAAGUCAGUGGUGAAAUCCCGAGGCUCAACCUCGGAACUGCCUUUGAUACUAUUAGUCUUGAAUGUUGUUGAGGUGGGCGGAACGGGUCAUGUAGCGGUGAAAUGCAUAGAUAUGACCCGGAACACCGAUUGCGAAGGCAGCCCGCUAAGCAACUAUUGACGCUGAGGCACGAAAGCGUGGGGAUCAAACAGG